RNAcentral lists this ribosomal RNA (333 nucleotides) under uncultured prokaryote. Its description in RNAcentral is "bacterial SSU rRNA". It matches the Rfam family "Bacterial small subunit ribosomal RNA", at positions 26 to 352 of the family's 1533-position model. The record is from RNAcentral.
AGGACGAACGCUGGCGGCGUGCCUAACACAUGCAAGUCGAACGGGGUCCAUCCGGUGGCAACACCGGAGAAGACCCAGUGGCGAACGGGUGCGGAACACGUGAGCAACCUGCCCCGAAGAUCGGGAUAACGGCGGGAAACUGCCGCUAAUACCGAAUGCCCCCACGAGCCCGCAUGGGUUUGUGAGGAAAGGAUUCUGCUUCGGGAGGGGCUCGCGGCCUAUCAGCUUGUUGGUGGGGUAACGGCCUACCAAGGCGAUGAUCGGUAUCCGGCCUGAGAGGGCGCACGGACACACUGGAACUGAAACACGGUCCAGACUCCUACGGGCGGCAGC